Molecule: ribosomal RNA, 496 nt
Filed under: uncultured bacterium
Lineage: Bacteria
Description: partial 16S ribosomal RNA
Rfam family: Bacterial small subunit ribosomal RNA
Source: RNAcentral
AUGAACGCUGGCGGCGUGCCUAAUACAUGCAAGUCGAGCGAACGGACGAGAAGCUUGCUUCUCUGAUGUUAGCGGCGGACGGGUGAGUAACACGUGGAUAACCUACCUAUAAGACUGGGAUAACUUCGGGAAACCGGAGCUAAUACCGGAUAAUAUUUUGAACCGCAUGGUUCAAAAGUGAAAGACGGUCUUGCUGUCACUUAUAGAUGGAUCCGCGCUGCAUUAGCUAGUUGGUAAGGUAACGGCUUACCAAGGCAACGAUGCAUAGCCGACCUGAGAGGGUGAUCGGCCACACGGGAACUGAGACACGGUCCAGACUCCUACGGGAGGCAGCAGUAGGGAAUCUUACGCAAUGGGCGAAAGCCUGACGGAGCAACGCCGCGUGAGUGAUGAAGGUCUUCGGAUCGUAAAACUCUGUUAUUAGGGAAGAACAUAUGUGUAAGUACCUGUGCACAUCUUGACGGUACCUAAUCAGAAAGCCACGGCUAACUACGUG